This 329-nucleotide unclassified non-coding RNA is filed under the name soil metagenome. RNAcentral describes it as "partial contains 5.8S ribosomal RNA, internal transcribed spacer 2, and large subunit ribosomal RNA". The stretch from base 1 to 120 matches the Rfam family "5.8S ribosomal RNA", at positions 35 to 154 of the family's 154-position model. The record is from RNAcentral.
GAUGAAGAACGUAGCGAAAUGCGAUAAGUAAUGUGAAUUGCAGAAUUCAGUGAAUCAUCGAAUCUUUGAACGCACAUUGCGCCCCUUGGUAUUCCGAGGGGCAUGCCUGUUCGAGCGUCAUUAUAACCCCUCAAGCUCAGCUUGGUGUUGGGGCCUGCUGCACUGGCAGCCCUUAAAAUCAGUGGCGGCGCCAUCUGGCUCUAAGCGUAGUAAUUCUUCUCGCUAUGGAGUCCUGGUGGAUGCUUGCCAUCAACCCCCAAUUUUUCUAUGGUUGACCUCGGAUCAGGUAGGGAUACCCGCUGAACUUAAGCAUAUCAAUUAGCGGAGGA